AGUAGUGUGGCGUGCGCGGUGCUGCGUGGUCGUCGGGACGGAGUUGUGAGUAUUUUCGGUGUUUUAAAUGGUUGAUGGCCAUUUGAACCAGCUUUAUAUUAUUUCCUACAAAUUUUUGCAUCAAAUUAUUGCUUUGAAAGACCAUUGAAACCCCUUAUCUCUUCAUGAAACACGAUCAUAUUCAUCGUCGACGAAAAUGGCGCGGGACUCCAUGUGCAUUCCGAUCGAAAUAAAUCGUAAAUUAAAUAAUAUUCGAUGAUAAGUAUCAUAUUCUAGUGACACAUUUUCAUAAAAUAAGGCAUAAACUUUGCAAGGAAGUCAACAUUGGAUAAUUGGAUUCUUAUUUAGCUCACAUAUCCUUGUAGUAGUCAAAUGGCUCAAUUGAUAGAUUAAUGUAAGUAUAUGUUUUGGCUUGAUGUUUGCUGUGAAACCACCCAGCCACUUGCUGGUUGAAUGGUUUUCUGAUAAUUACCUGAUAAUCAUUUCUCCUUUUCCUUAAAGGAAAAGUGCCACCUUCUUGAAAUAUGAAAAUAUCGUUGGUUUUUAUUUUGACAUUACUAUUUUCCAUUUUCUUUUCAAAACCGGUGCCAGAAGUGCAUAAUUCGCUAAAAAGUAUUUCAAACUAUUUAACAUAUUGGUACUAUGUUUAUACUCUCUACCGCAGCUACUGUAUGAUGUCAUAGCAAUGACGUCACACUCAAGCCAAUCAGCCUUGAGGAGGAUAGACUCGUCGGACUGUAGCGGUUGUAAACAACUUGUCGCCCCGUGUGUCUGCCCGUGGCGCUAGUUAUCUGUCGGAGUUACCACUGACAAUGCCCAAAACAAGAACAACAAAGGCCCAAAGGUGGCUGUUUGGUAGUGCGCAAAGCUGCUGGUGGUGGUGGACGUCUCUGCCCUGACGCGCGGCGUGCGUCUGCUCAGUGUGGAGGUGCCGCUGACAGCGGUGCCGGCCGGACCGGCUGCCUCUCCGGCGGCCGACAUUGAGCGCGGCACGUGUCCGCCGCCGUUCGGGCCGCUGCAGCUGCUGCAGUCGGCGGCGCAGCUGUCCGUCUCCGUGUCGCUGGCCGUGCCGCUGGACCUGCUGCCGCGGCCGGCGCCGGCGCGCUGCGCCUACGGCCGCCUGCUGGCCGUGAGCCGUCGUCUCGCAGCGCGGCCUGCAGCGCAGCGGCGUGCCGCAGCUCAUCCAGCAGCUCAACGAGCCGCCCAGCCCGGCGGCGGCCGAGGGCGCCGCGCCGCGCCGGCCCGGCGACGUCAGCACACCUGGCAUCAGCGGCUUCUGCCUGGCCGACCGUCAGCUGCACCUGCUGUUCGCCGAGGGGCGCGCCGACGCCGAGCUGGAACAGACGGCGGCCGCGCCGCGCGCUCUGCCGCGCCGCGACGCUCGACUCUGCCACCACUCGGGCUUGCUGUUUAGGGAGCGCCUGUACCCGCGCCAGCCGGCCGUGUUCCGCGUGCUCGAGGACCGCCCGCUACGCGCCCAGCUGCUCGACACCCGCCUCUACACGUUACAGAAACAGGAGCCGGCGCGCGCCGUCCGCGCCAUCAGAGAGUGCUUCCGCACGCAGUGGCUGUCGGAAAAUGAACCUGCUUCCCAACGAGGCCGGCCUGCAACAACUGCUGGCCGGCUGUUGGCC
Molecule: long non-coding RNA, 1634 nt
Organism: Amphibalanus amphitrite
Lineage: Eukaryota; Metazoa; Arthropoda; Thecostraca; Balanomorpha; Balanidae
Exons: 3
Source: RefSeq, a predicted model, not a curated record